Molecule: ribosomal RNA, 388 nt
Filed under: uncultured bacterium
Lineage: Bacteria
Description: partial 16S ribosomal RNA
Rfam family: Bacterial small subunit ribosomal RNA
Source: RNAcentral
AUACAUAGGGGGCGAGCGUUAUCCGGAUUUAUUGGGCGUAAAGGGUGCGUAGGCGGUCAAUUAAGUCUAAGGUUAAAGUGCAGGGCUCAACCCUGUGAUGCCUUAGAAACUGGUUUACUUGAGUUUGGUAGAGGUAAGUGGAACUCCAUGUGUAGCGGUAAAAUGCGUAAAUAUAUGGAAGAACACCAGUGGCGAAGGCGGCUUACUGGGCCAAAACUGACGCUGAGGCACGAAAGCGUGGGGAGCAAACAGGAUUAGAUACCCUGGUAGUCCACGCUGUAAACGAUGAAUACUAAGUGUUGGAAAAAUCCAGUGCUGAAGUUAACGCAUUAAGUAUUCCGCCUGGGUAGUACGGACGCAAGGAUGAAACUGAAAGGAAUUGACGGGG